UUUGGGUCCUGAGACAUCAAUGUCAGCCUUGGGCAGGUUCACAUCCACUUCUGGGCCCUCUCCUUUGAAGCCAGGCAUGCUGAACUUGGGCAUUUUCAUCUUGGGCAUCUUCAGGUGCCAGUCAGGGCCUUGAACAUCCACAUCAGGGACAUCGAUGUCCACUUUGGGGCCUUUGAUGUCCACAUCUGGCACUUUCAUUUCACCUUCUAUCUUGGGCACAGACACAUCCACAUCCCCUUUGACUUUGGGGCCUUUCAGGUGUAAGUCCACAUCAGGCAUGGAGAUCUUGGGGGCCUUGAAGUG
Molecule: unclassified non-coding RNA, 303 nt
Filed under: Hevea brasiliensis (rubber tree)
Lineage: Eukaryota; Viridiplantae; Streptophyta; Magnoliopsida; Malpighiales; Euphorbiaceae
Source: RNAcentral